RNAcentral lists this unclassified non-coding RNA (282 nucleotides) under uncultured Glomeromycotina. RNAcentral's name for it is "sequence contains 5.8S rRNA gene". The stretch from base 1 to 53 matches the Rfam family "5.8S ribosomal RNA", at positions 102 to 154 of the family's 154-position model. The record is from RNAcentral. Lineage: Eukaryota; Fungi; Glomeromycota.
GAACGCAUAUUGCACUCUCUGGCAUUCCAGAGAGUAUGCCUGUUUGAGGGUCAGUUAAAUAAAAAUCGGGGUUGUUGCUGCUUUUUGUGGUGACACGUCGGAAUUGGGUCGUCUUUACCAUCGGUUAAGUGACCUAAAAUUUUUAUGAUUUUUCGAACGUAUUUAAAUUUUUUAUGUACGUUUGCAAUAUCCGAAUAUUAGAUGUGGUCAUUCUCAUGAUUCGCGUCUAUAAUUUUUCAUCUAAUGACCUCAAAUCAGGUAAGAGUACCCGCUGAACUUAAG